Molecule: long non-coding RNA, 336 nt
Filed under: Salvia miltiorrhiza (redroot sage)
Lineage: Eukaryota; Viridiplantae; Streptophyta; Magnoliopsida; Lamiales; Lamiaceae
Description: long non-coding RNA (SMIL_LNC011314)
Source: RNAcentral
CUAAGCCUAAUGAACAUAAAAUGGUAAUCCACGAGCAAAGAAGAUAGGCAUGUGACUUAUCAAGAUAGUACUUGUUAUAAGCAUGCACUUCUUGUUAUUUGAGGCUCUUCAUUAUAUGGGCAGAUUUUUUUAUUUUUUAUUUUUAAGUCAUUCUUAGUAUAAACAUUCACUUAAUUUGUUAAUACAACUAACUAAUUGGCAAGUGCUCUUGUGUAUUGGGGGUAGAUUUAACAUAAGCUCUCUUUCAUAGUUAAAUAUGCUUAUUUAGCUUCAUGUUUUCAGCCCAACAAAGAAAUGAUAGUUGGCAUCAGGCUGAAGUUAUGGAAGCAAGGAUCA